RNAcentral lists this long non-coding RNA (239 nucleotides) under Citrus maxima (pomelo). RNAcentral's name for it is "long non-coding RNA (CMAX_LNC002836)". Lineage: Eukaryota; Viridiplantae; Streptophyta; Magnoliopsida; Sapindales; Rutaceae. The record is from RNAcentral.
GGAUCAAUUGCAACUGAGGUUGUGAAUUUGGAUGAUUGGGUUGAUGAUCCCAUUGAUAGAAUUAGGGAAGGUAUUAGGUUGAGGUCUUGACAGCAGUAUAGAUGGAGACAGGUUACAAUCCCGCCUGUAAGUAGGAACCUUCCGAUGGAAUUGGAUCAGCUGCUCAGCCAUUCCGCUGAUGUGCCUACUUUACAGACAGGUGAGGGCAGUCAGUAGUGUUGCUGCUGAGGAAAAAUCCA